This 447-nucleotide ribosomal RNA is filed under the name uncultured bacterium. Its description in RNAcentral is "partial 16S ribosomal RNA". It matches the Rfam family "Bacterial small subunit ribosomal RNA", at positions 29 to 523 of the family's 1533-position model. The record is from RNAcentral.
AACGAACGCUGGCGGCAGGCUUAACACAUGCAAGUCGAACGCCCCGCAAGGGGAGUGGCAGACGGGUGAGUAACGCGUGGGAAUCUACCCUGAACUGCGGGAUAGCUCCGGGAAACUGGAAUUAAUACCGCAUGUGCCCUGAGGGGCAAAGAUUUAUCGGUUCAGGAUGAGCCCGCGUCCGAUUAGCUAGUUGGUGGGGUAAAGGCCUACCAAGGCGACGAUCGGUAGCUGGUCUAAGAGGAUGAUCAGCCACAUUGGGACUGAGACACGGCCCAAACUCCUACGGGAGGCAGCAGUGGGGAAUAUUGGACAAUGGGCGCAAGCCUGAUCCAGCCAUGCCGCGUGAGUGAUGAAGGCCCUAGGGUUGUAAAGCUCUUUCAGUGGGGACGAUAAUGACGGUACCCACAGAAGAAGCCCCGGCUAACUUCGUGCCAGCCGCCGCAGUAA